GAUGAAGAACGUAGCGAAAUGCGAUAAGUAAUGUGAAUUGCAGAAUUCCGUGAAUCAUCGAAUUUUUGAACGCAUAUUGCGCCCUCUGGUAUUCCGGGGGGCAUGCCUGUUCGAGCGUCAUUAUAACCACUCAAGCUCUCGCUUGGUAUUGGGGUUCGCGGUUCCGCGGCCCCUAAAAUCAGUGGCGGUGCCUGUCGGCUCUACGCGUAGUAAUACUCCUCGCGAUUGAGUCCGGUAGGUCUACUUGCCAGCAACCCCCAAUUUUUACAGGUUGACCUCGGAUCAGGUAGGGAUACCCGCUGAACUUAAGCAUAUCAAUAAGCGGAGGA
Molecule: unclassified non-coding RNA, 329 nt
Filed under: soil metagenome
Description: partial contains 5.8S ribosomal RNA, internal transcribed spacer 2, and large subunit ribosomal RNA
Rfam family: 5.8S ribosomal RNA (bases 1-120)
Source: RNAcentral